CUUUACGUAUGUCGACUCUGACAGUGUGGUGUGUGUUGAGCUGUCCCUGGUCAGUAUGGACAGACCCACAUAGCUUGGAGCAUGUGUUGAAGAGUGUAAAUGUCAGAGCCAGCGUACCGGGUUUGAGUCCCUGCCUUGCCAUUGACAAGCAGGGCAUGACAGACAAGUGAUGUCUGUGUCUGUUGCUUGUCUGUAAAGUGGGACGCCGGCCGUGCUGCCCUGUUGGGCUGCUGUGAGGGUGGAGCAAGUUAACACAUGCACAGCCUGUAGAAGGGUGGCCGUCUGCCGUUGUCUCUGGUGGCUGUAUGAUGUUCCGGAGGGAAUGUCGUUCUAAGCGAUGCCUUGCUGAACACCCCCUGCGCUCUCCUUGCAGGUGUCGAGUGAUACUCACUUGAUACUCUGAGUGUGGCCAACAUGCGGGGCUCAGGUGGCUUACUGCUUUUCCUUCCAAAGGCCGACUGUGGUGACCUUGCUGAAGACAGAUCAUCCGUCUCAGGGUCUGGAGUCGGGGUCCCACACUGCUUGCCGUGAGAGGUCAGGGGGCGGUGCUGGCCUCUGAGCAGCCCCGUGGCACUGAGGGCUGGCCCAGGUGCUCUCACAGGGCGACCUCCUGACGCCCGUGCUCACCGUGGCCCUCGCUCCUAAUCCCACCCUCAGGUUCUGAGGCAGGAAGCAGUUCCCACACUUGGCUACUGGGAAGGAAGGUUGUGUGGGGGGGCAGAGGCUUCCUGUGUGACCUGGAGCUGAUCUUUCCCGCCCCUGCAGGUGCAGCAGUACCGCGUCGCCAUGACUGCCAAGGACUGCUCCAUCAUGAUUGCACUGUCUCCCUGUCUGCAGGAUGCCAGCUCUGAUCAAAGGCCUGUCGUCCCUUCAUCGAGGUCCAGGUUUGCCUUUUCCGUGUCUGUGCUGGACCUUGACCUCAAGCCCUACGAGAGCAUUCCCCAUCAGUAUAAACUGGACGGCAAGAUCGUCAACUAUUAUUCAAAGACUGUACGUGCCAAAGACAACGCCGUGAUGUCGACUCGGUUCAAGGAAAGCGAAGAUUGCACAUUAGUUCUCCACAAGGUCUAACUCUUUCCCUGCAGUGUCUUUGAAACUUGAACAUAAUGUGAAGGCUGAAUGAUAGAGAUAUUUUCUGUUGUGUUGGGUGACCUUUGGUUGUGAAUGUUUUUGCUUUUAACCCCUUUUGAGGUGGGAUUGCCUCUUGGAGACAUGGAAUUGAAGAGCACUAGAAACAACUUCCUGGACAAGGAAUGUAGGAAGUGAGUGCUGUGUCCCAGGAAGCUGCUCACACUCUUAAAAUGGAAGUGUCCGUUAAGCCCUGGGAAGACGUUCUGGAUAGUUCUUCUUUCCCAACCAGGGCUCAUGUCUGAUUCUCUAAUGCGAAAAGCCUUAUUCUAAGACCCAAGGUUUGGAUCUGCUACCACCAGACUCCUAACAUAGAAAACUUGAAUUGUCACAUACAUUUUACAGUUUGGACUUUUAAGAAAACAUGGAUACUACUGGAACUUCCCCCAGCUGAGUUACAUGGUCACUUUUUCAGUGCAAGCCACAUAUCAACACAGGUUUUUAGGUGGUUCCCUGCUGCACAGCGUGACCUCGUGGUCGCGCAGAUGCCGAUUCUGAGCAGUGUAGACUCAGGGUCCCUGUGGAGGUGCUGAAGCCCACAGUUCCACACAGGGCAGCAGGGAGCGCAAGGCUCAGGUCAGGAUGGACACCACUCAUGCGAGCAUUGACCUUUUUUUUUUUGCUUUACAAUUUAAUCUUUCACAUGAGGGGGAGAUGAGCUGUUCUUUCCCACUAAAAAUUGCUGCUGUAGAAGUUGGAGGUGGAGCUGUGACUGGCUGAGCUGCUGUGGCCGGGCUGGGCAGUGUGCCCCAACAGCUCAGUGCUUUCCUGACACUCCAGUGUCUGGGGUGGUUGAGGAGCGAGUUCUCUCUUCCUCCCAGACCAAGUUCCUCCCUCGGGUUUGCCUUGAGACGUGUUGCGUUUUUGGGCCCCGUGGCCUCUCCCUGUUAGGCUGCCACAGGCCCUGCUUCUGGAAGGUGAACAGCUCCUGGCUGCUGCCGAGAGGGUUCUCGUUGGGGUCACCAAAGUGUGCCCGGCUGCUAUGAAAAACGUUGGGAAUCUUGGUUUCAGUUUUUUAUUCUAUGCUAGGUUGUACAGACUUAUUUAUAUCAUCGUUUUGAGGGACUAAUGGAGGCUUAUUGUAACAUAUAAUAUUAGUGAAACCAUGGAAUUAUAUGAAAAUGAUACAUGAGAAAUAAGGAAACUAUUUUGCUGAUUGUAAAUUUUUGUGGGAAAUUUUGUGAUAACUUGAGAAUUAUACUUGUUUGAAUCAAGGCAA
Molecule: long non-coding RNA, 2347 nt
Filed under: Homo sapiens (human)
Lineage: Eukaryota; Metazoa; Chordata; Mammalia; Primates; Hominidae
Description: non-protein coding lnc-ECM2-3:1
Source: RNAcentral